Long non-coding RNA from Mirounga angustirostris (Northern elephant seal), 1717 nucleotides. RefSeq lists it as uncharacterized. The record is from RefSeq and is a predicted model, not a curated record. The transcript is spliced from 3 exons. Lineage: Eukaryota; Metazoa; Chordata; Mammalia; Carnivora; Phocidae.
GGAUCACACAGCAGAAAUACCUGAUUCUGGAAUAAACCAUGAAAUCAUUCAUGUACGUUCUGGGACACACCUUUGGUGCCUUCUCAGAUGGAGCCCUUGGGCGCCUCCUUCCUGCUGAGCCCAGCAGCGAAGGCCCGAUGGUUGGUGAUGUUCUGAGAGUUUCCUAAGGGUGAACUCAUUUCACGCUAACAACAACAGCACCACCACCACCAACAACCACAUCACAAGGAAGAGAAAUUGAACAUUAUUUCCAGUCUCCCAGCACACUGGGAUGAUUUACCGGUAAUGCCAUUGUCUAAGGGCCUGGAUCCAUUGGCGACCCUCACCCCAGAAGCACCGUUCACAGAUGCUGCCCCGCAGUGCAUCAUUUACAUAGACUGCUGUGCUAGGACCCUACUUCUCUUCCCUUAGGAUAAUUAAAAAAAAAAAAAAAUCAAGAUUUUCUUUCCUAAUUAUCCCAUUUGGACCUAACACCUAAGUUUGAACCCUGGAGGAAUAGUGCGGUGGCGGAGGGCACUGUAUGGAAAACACUAGUGACCAAAGUCAUAGAAUGAAUAGUUACUGGGCACCUGUUCUGUUCCAGGCACUGUUUCAGUCACUGGGUCUAUAGGAGGGAACAGAACAGACAGAAAUCCCUGCUUUUGUGGGACUUAUUUUUCUAAGGAGGGAGACAAGACUAUAAACAAGUAUGACAUAUGAUGGUGGUAAGUACAGGAGAGAAAAAAGGUGGGGAAAAGGGAAUGCCUGGGUGGGGAGGGGAUGGCAGCAGUUGUAAUAGGGGCAGUCAGAGAAGGUUUCAUUGAGAAGGGGACUUUUGUGUAAAGACCUGAAAGAGGUGGCACCCUAGAUCAGAAGGAACGGUAAAUGCAAAUGUCCUGAGGUGGGAGCGUGCCUGGUGCAUUGGUGAAACCAGAAGGAGGCCAGUGUGACUGGACUGACCCAAAGGAUGUGUUGUAGGAGAUGAGGUCAGAGAGAUCAAGGAGUGGGACAGAGAGUGCAGGACCUUGUAGACCUUUGUAAGAACUUUGACUUUGACUCUGAGUGCGAUGGAGAGCCAUUGCAAGGUUUUGAGAAGAGCUUUUAGACUUAUUUUUGAAAAGAAUCACUCUGGCUGCUGUGUUGAGAAUAGAAUGGGGAUCAGGGAGGGCAAAGGCUGAAGCAUUGAACCGUUGGCUAUUGCAGGAAUCAAGGUGGGAACGGUGGUGUUUGGACAGGGAAGUGGCAGUGGAGGUAAUGAGAAAUGGUCAGAUUCUAGAGGAAUUUUGAAUAUAGGUAGGAUAUGCUAAUGGAUUGGAUAUAGCACAAGAGAGGAAGAGAGGAUGAUUAAGCAUAACUCCAAUGUUGUGGUCUGAGUAGCACACUUAAAAAAAAAACACCUUUUAUUAUGGGCAAUUUCAAACAUGUACAUAAGUAGACAAAAAUCGUGUAGGAAACCCCAGGUAGCUACCAACCUACCAACAAGCUUCAAAAAUUAUCACCUUAUGGUCAAUUUCAUUUUUUCUAUGCCCCACCCAUUCUCUGUCCCCUACUAUAUUGAAGCAAAUCUCAGUCUUACUUGCAUUUUAUAUGUAAAUCCAUCAGGGGGCGCCUGGGUGGCUCAGUUGGUUCAGCAUCUGCCUUCUGCUCAGGUCAUCAUCUGGGCGGGGGAGGGGGUCCUGGGAUCUACCUGGGUGGGGCUCCCUGCUCAGCGGGGAGUCUGCUUCUCCCUCUCUCCCUG